This 301-nucleotide ribosomal RNA is filed under the name uncultured bacterium. RNAcentral describes it as "partial 16S ribosomal RNA". It matches the Rfam family "Bacterial small subunit ribosomal RNA", at positions 509 to 807 of the family's 1533-position model. The record is from RNAcentral.
CAGUCGCCACGGUAAUACGUAGGGUGCAAGCGUUAUCCGGAAUUAUUGGGCGUAAAGAGCUCGUAGGCGGUUUGUCGCGUCUGCUGUGAAAACUGGAGGCUCAACCUCCAGCCUGCAGUGGGUACGGGCAAACUAGAGUGCGGUAGGGGAGAUUGGAAUUCCUGGUGUAGCGGUGGAAUGCGCAGAUAUCAGGAGGAACACCGAUGGCGAAGGCAGAUCUCUGGGCCGUAACUGACGCUGAGGAGCGAAAGCAUGGGGAGCGAACAGGAUUAGAUACCCCCGUAGUCCCUGUCUCUUAUAC